ACAAACUUGGUCAUUUAGAGGAAGUAAAAGUCGUAACAAGGUUUCCGUAGGUGAACCUGCGGAAGGAUCAUUACCGAACUGUCAAACGUGGUUGUUGCUGGCCUUCGAAAGGGGGCACGUGCACGCUUCGUUUACACAUCCACUUCACACCCGUGCACCCUCUGUAGUUCUAUAGUCUGGGGGACCCUGUUCUCCUUCUGUAGCCCUACGUUUUUACACACACACCGUAACAACGUCUUGUGGAAUGCUUUCUGCGUUUAACGCAAUACAGUACAACUUUCAGCAACGGAUCUCUUGGCUCUCGCAUCGAUGAAGAACGCAGC
Molecule: unclassified non-coding RNA, 323 nt
Filed under: uncultured fungus
Lineage: Eukaryota; Fungi
Description: partial contains small subunit ribosomal RNA, internal transcribed spacer 1, and 5.8S ribosomal RNA
Rfam family: Eukaryotic small subunit ribosomal RNA (bases 1-73)
Source: RNAcentral